AAUGAUAGAGGCGCGGUUUUCAUCAGUAUGUUUUGCUUCAGACGGACCAUCUGCAAAACAGAAAGGGGAAACUGCCGAAGACAGAUUUCGAGGCCGUGAGAAAGCUGUCUGGGCCGCUCGCAGAAUAUGCGGCGGACUGUCACGGAUGUGGAGUGCUAUCA
This 161-nucleotide non-coding RNA is filed under the name uncultured Sellimonas sp. RNAcentral's name for it is "Lysine riboswitch". It matches the Rfam family "Lysine riboswitch aptamer". Rfam says of the family: Riboswitches are metabolite binding domains within certain messenger RNAs that serve as precision sensors for their corresponding targets. The record is from RNAcentral. Lineage: Bacteria; Bacillati; Bacillota; Clostridia; Lachnospirales; Lachnospiraceae.